This is a long non-coding RNA of Chelonia mydas (Green sea turtle), 982 nucleotides long. RefSeq lists it as uncharacterized. The record is from RefSeq and is a predicted model, not a curated record. The transcript has 3 exons. NCBI's taxonomy places the organism in Eukaryota, Metazoa, Chordata, Testudines, Cheloniidae.
GGCGGGCAGCAGGCAGAACAAAGCCCCGAGACCAGACACCUGGGCGUGGAUGCUCCUAAAAUCCCAGGCGCUGCUCCCUCCAUUUUGACCGGGGAGCCUGGGCUGAGCAGCGGCUGCCCCCCCACCCCAAUGGGGGUCUGUGCUGGGGGGAGCCCCUCAUUAACCCCUCCCUGCCCAGCCGCGGGGGACUUUCUCCGGCUGGGACCAGCCCCCCGGGCUGCAGACUGCAGACUAACGCGGCUUCCCCUCUGAUACCUGACACCAGGCAAGUGUGAACUGGGGGAGUCUGAAGUGUCUCUGGGAAGGCAGGAGAUUUCAGGGGGAGAAGACCAGGGGAAGAGGAGUCUUGGAUUGAGCUUCCUGGCUGAGAUGCUGUUGUUUCCUCCACUGUUAUCUGGAAGCCCAAGUUGAGCUGCUCCUUCUGUCCCAGUGGGAUCUGUGCUGGAGAGUGACUUUAUUUAAAAUUUCUUCUGUGCUGAGCCAAGGUGAGGAAUUUCUCCAGUCGGAACGAGUCCCCUAAGGCAGACUUACGCUCUGCCAACAUCAGCUCCUGAGCCAGAGACCUCAAGGAAGGUGCCGAGGAUGGGCAGCAAAGUGAUUUGGCACAAACAGCCCCUCCUCAUUCCUCAUGUCUCCUCUCAGUAGUAGUUGCAGGAGCUGAUCCAGCCAUGGGGAAGAAAAUGACCCAGGAAUGGGACUGUCCAAACUGGAGGGGCAGGGAGAGGGGAAAGGAGAUCGAAAGGGAAAGAGGAGAGAGACUGAAAGGGGCAGUGGGAGAAAUAAGUGGGGAGAGAAAUUCCCAGAUCUCUGACCUGCCCAGACAUACUUAUUGCAACAUCGCGGGACAGAUUCCCUUGCCUGUGAACAAGUGGAGGAGCAGAAGGAGGAAAAGCAAGUUCCUGAGUCUCCCUAUUCCCCCUGCCUGGGAGUAUGCUGCCCUGGGGACCAAGUCAGGGGGAAUCCCCCAAAGUGACUCCUUUGG